RNAcentral lists this unclassified non-coding RNA (1642 nucleotides) under Hevea brasiliensis (rubber tree). The record is from RNAcentral. Lineage: Eukaryota; Viridiplantae; Streptophyta; Magnoliopsida; Malpighiales; Euphorbiaceae.
CAUCUUUUUCUUACAAACAAGAAAACUCUUAUUAUCCCCCUGAUACCCCUGCCAGGGUAAUCUUCCUUUUAUAAGAAAUAUCAAUGUGUAAGCCAAUGACUCGAGAUCAUCCCUCCGACUUCCAGUUCGGCCUAAAUGUGCAUGUACACUAGCAUACCUUAUUGUUCCCCUGAAUACAUCAGGCCUCUGAUCAUAGUCAACAUGUUGACCAGAUGAUGCAUCUUUCCAUCUAGAUGCCAAACCAAGAUCAAUAAGAUAUAGCUUUUUUUCAUCAGCACUUCCAGGUUGACCAAGCAAAAAAUUUUCUGGUUUCACGUCUCCAUGCACAAACCCCUUCAUAUGAAGCUUUUCAAGAAUUGAUAUUGCCUCCACAGCAAUGCAGGCCACCAUACUUGGUGACAUCGAUUGGCCCAGGGAAUUCCAAACAUCCCAAAGACUGGGUCCAAGCAUGUCCAUGACCAAAAUGUAGAAAUCUCCUUGACGACCCUUGUAAUGCACCCAAGGAAUUCCAUAACAUCCAUUUAAAGUAUUAUACACUUGCCACUCAUAAGGAGGACCAUAAUUGCAACCUUUGCUAUUUCGGUGCUCAAACUUCAAUGCGACCUCAAUUGCAUCAGGUCCAGUUCUGUCAGUACCACCACUUACCCUUCUGCCAACAUAAACUUGGCCAAAACCACCCUUACCCAACUUCCUUUCUAUUUUAUACAUAGGAGAGUUACCCACUUGCACCCUCUCAGGAACUGGAGUCGUGUUUCCUUCUUCUUCAACUCCCAUUGCCUUCUCUGCACUCCCACCAUCCAUCGCAAUAUCUUUGUCUGCCACUACCUCAACUCGAUUAUAACCUGGUUCAGCAGCUCCUAAAGCUGCAGCUUCAACCUCACAAGGUUCUGGAUCUAAAUCUAUCAACCUAAUGCCCCGGCCUCUACCAGCAGCAGUCAGCCUCGUGGGUAUUGCCGGCAAAGCGCCUUUUGCUACACCUGUGGCAUUGCCACCUCUUCCUCUACCACCAACUCUUCUUCUGGUCUUGUUUUGAGCAGGUUGGAUCCAAUUCUCUGCUGGGUUGAUCGGUUGUUGAAGAGUCUGAAGAUCAUCAAGACGCUUCGAUCUCCGGGCUCCACUUCUCAAUUCUGGCAUCCUCAACCCAUGCAAAUUACAUUCCACUUAAUUCCCCUAAUAUCCUUUCAAAUCUCUCUUUUUUGAGAAGAUUCUUUACACGUGCUCUUUAUCAGGCACAUAGUUGAUCCAAAAACUGAAACAUUAACCACUGUUAUGUACACUUAGCCACGUAUACAUACAAAGAUCCAUAAACCCGUAAUCUUUACACGAACUCUUACGUAGGCACACAAAUGAUCCAAAAACAGAAAGAUAAACCAUUAUGAUGCACACUUAAGCACAUAAAGAUAAUAGUACAGAAUCGAUUUAAAUGUCUCACACAUGCAGAGCACAAAACUGAACUUAACCACAUCAUUCGUCUAAAGCCCUACAAGCAACUAAAAUUCGAACAAAUAGCAUAUCCAUAUCAAGAUAAACCAGUUUAUACAAAUUUCUCAAUCAUGACAUCAUACAAGUUCAAAUUGGAGCAAUAAUGAUACUAUCAGUGACUAAAACUGAAAAAAAAAAUCCCAAGAAUAUACAGUUCAGU